AGCUGACCACCCAGACACACUGUGAAGAGGGAGAUGUCAAAGGCAGUCUGAGGAGAAAAACUGCCCCUUUCAGGAAGUCUUCUGGGAUUAACCACGGCCCUAGUCGGCCCGUCCAACUCAGAUUGCUCCUUCCCUUCUUGAUCAUAUUUGGCGAUGAGUAACACUCUGAUACUUUGGUUGGCUUGCCUGUUUCUCUUACACUGAGUGCAGCUCUUGAUUUUUCUUGGUCAAGCACCGGGGGUUGAGUGCAGGGCCUCAAUACUAGUCAAGUGCUCUACCAUUGAGUGCCAACCCACACAGUCCUCGGCCCAGUUUUAAAAAUAGGAUUCUAGCCUUCUGUUUUAAUAGAUGAUAGAAGUUGCACCGAGAGACGGCCUGAGUGAGGAAGAAGAGCGUGCCCUUGGGUCAGAUGCACCCAGGUGCAAAGCUGGGUUCUGGAUUGUGCAGCUGUGUGAGCCAGUUUCCUAGUUCACAGAAGGGAAAAUGAGCUCCACUCUGCAAGAAGACUAAAGUCAGAGAGUCAUCGGUCCUAGCCUUGCAGUGUGCUCCCAAGUCGUCUGAGACAAGGCUCACCUGGGACUUUCCUCCAGCCCCAUCCACAGCCAAUGUGACAGAGAGAGCACAGCAAAUGACGUGGAUCUUAAAAAAGGAGCCGAAGAAGUUGCUACAGCCCAGGGCGAUCAUCUCCUGUGGAGAGAGGGCAGGGUUGGUGGGAAGUAGGGGUCAGAUGUGGGCAGCCAUCUGUGUGUGUGUAGGGGGUCUGAGGCCUAGUUUGGAAGUGAUUGUGAUGCUGUGACCACACACUAGCACCCAAAGGUUAGCCGCAGGCUGGGGAGGUGGUUCAGCAGGUAAACACUUGCAGCAUGGGCAUGAGAACCUGGGUUCAGAUCUCCAGUACCCAUGUAAAAAAAAAAAAAAAAAAAAGAACACAGAUCACAGUGCUGAGGAGGUAGAGGCAGGAGGAUUCCCAGAGCUUACUGUCUUGGCAAUGUAGUCAGUCAGUGAGCACUCAGAAAAAAAAAAGUUUGAGAAGUGAUGGAUGAAUACAUCAGAUGUUAGCCUCUGGCCUCCAUAUGUAGCACACAUACACAUGUAUAUGAACUUGCAUAUACAUGUACACACAGGAACAUGUAAACUAUCCUCUAAGACUCCCCACAGAAAAAAAAAAAGAAAAGAAAAAGAAAGUUAAACCCAGAGUUCAGUCUCUUCGGUCUAGUUCCCCAACCCUCACCGUCUCUCCUUAACACAGUUCCAAGGUGUCUUUCUCUCCCCCUUUUUGAGGUGCUGGGGCAUAACCCAGAGACUCUUGUAUGCCAGGCAUACAAGAUGUGACUCUACCAUGGAGUCACAUCGCCAACCCCCAAAGCUGUCAUUGGUAGGCUUCUGCCGGCCCAUACCCCCGAACCCUGCCUGCCAGGGGCAGCUGGAGAUACCUGGUUCGAAUCCACGUCAUAGCCAUGCUUGUUGGCAAGGGUCCGGCCCAUGGCCAGAUUGAUGACAUAGCCCACAAUUGCCAGGGAGAAGGCUGUGCCCACCAUGUCCUUCCACUGGGAAACCACCGGCACCACUGGAGUGGGAAACCUGCCGAGUGUCCAAAAAGAGGUGGGGCUGGGGGUGUGAGAAGGAGGGGAGCUGAGCCCCACCAUGUGCUAGCAUCUUAUUUGCAAGGCUUGUCCCACGCGGCCUCACACAGUACACUCAGAAAGCAGGUCCCGCCACUCUUGGUUUUGAAGGAGAGAGCCAGGGCUUAAGAGAAUUAACUUGUCCAGGCCAACAAGCCAGUAAGCAGGAGGGCUUCAUUUGUUUAUGCCCAGACUCUGAUUCUUUGUACACUAGUUUCCAGAACCCACAGACCUCCAGUGCUAUGAGGCCUUGUCUCCUCCUCCCCUGUUGGGGCAAGCCUUGCCCAAGUUGUCCUGAAUCUAGCAUGGUACCUGACAUAGAAUAGAUGCUUAAAGAAUUUGGUUGACCUUAGUGGCUCCCUUUCUGCACGGGUUAAAAAAAAACAAAAACGAGUAUGUACUAGAACAAAGCUGAAAGCCAGGGAUGGGGGGAUCUGUGAGUGGUUUGACUGUAUUCAGUACAUGAGACUCAUGGGGGCUGGGAGGGUAGCAUUUGAGACUCACUUUCUAUGAAGAGGCCAGCAUGGGCUGGUUAUGUGACUUUUCUGAGUCAGUUUUCAAUUCAUUUCAGCUAGAGCCUCUCAACUCCACCAGGGCCCCGGCUCUGGGGCGGGAAUGGGCUGGGUUUGGCCUCUGAGUGAUCUGGACUCACCCAUGUUGAAUCUCUCCGACGAUCUGCAUGUGAUAUUUUUUUGGCAUCUUGUAGCUCCCAGAGAUAGCUGUUGCCACUACCACCUGCAAACCCCAAAGUGGAGAAUGGAUAUUGACUCUUAGCUGGGACUAGGUCAGGGGUCUUUCCUAAAUCCUUUCUCUGGGAUUCCCAGAUCCCACUGUCUUGCCUCCUUAGGUCCGUGGGGCAGUGUGUGUAUGAGGCAGCCUGAGGAGUCACAUGGUGGGCCGCACGACAUACUCACCUGUGACUUCCUCUGCCUUCGGCUGCCAGUGGAGUGGGUAGAGGGGUGGACAGAGGCUCCCCUGCUCACAGCCGCCCUAUCCUGACCCUCAGAACCCUGUCUCCAGGUAGGCAGGAUGCUCACCACGAUCAUCUCCGUAGGGAUGGGGAAGUGGAUCUUGUGCAUGUACCGGGCGUUGAGUUCCUUCACCAGCACCAGGAAGACAGCGCUGACCAGGGCGAAGACGAGCGAGGCGAUGUUGGUGUGGGGGAGGUUUUUGCAAAUGUCAAUGAAGGUCUAAGGGAGAGAGCAUCAUAGGCUCCCAUCCUUUCCUCCCAUACUGCCCUGCCCUCGGGUGCCUGGCCCAGGGGAGACAUACGAGGGCAGAACACAGCCCUGGUUGCGAAUACCAUCCCACCUGCAACUACCCUCUCCCAGAGGGUGUGUCAGGAGUGAGUGCCAAGGAGUCGUACUUUCUCAUGAUAUUCAUGUGUGUAUGUCUAAGUGAGUGUAUGUCACAUGUGUGCAGGCAAGAUAGAGUGUCAUCCACUAGAGCUAGAGUUACAGGGGCUUGUGAUCCACCUGAUGUGGGGCUGGGGGCUUUAAGAUGACAUAAUUCCUUUCUCUUGUCAAGAGCCUUCACUAAAAAAGGAAGGGCUUCCCAGGUAAAGGAGCUGAGGCGCUGGAAUGGGGUCUCGUGUUCUGCAGGGAUUGACCAGAGAGCCCAGCGAGCACAUGAGGAUCUGUUAGACCCCUUUCUCACCAGGAGGACCCGAUGGGAGCCUCUCUACCCAUUGGCCCAGCCAGCUAUCAGAAUGAACAGUUCAUUCUGCUCCCAUCCCGCCCCUCCCCAAAGGGGCGUUUCCGGACUCACAAAAACGAUGGAGCCUGGGCCUGUGUAGGAGGGGAUGGUCAGACCAAAGAUGUACUUGAGCACAGAGAUCAGGAUCUGCAGGCCAGCGGCUGUCAUGAAGCCCCGGAUGAAGGAUUCAGAGAGGUAAAUGGCGACAAAGCCAAACUGCACGAAACCCAAGCCCAUCUGGAAGGAAGGAAGCCGAGAGUCCGCAGUGGGUCGUCUGCUCCAACUGCCUCACACAGCUCAGGAACAGCAGGCAAGGACUCAGGGAAAUGAGUCCUCUGCAAACUUUCCCUGCCAUUCUCUGGGACCUGGGUGCCUGCCACCAAGCCUUAGUUCCCUCGGCAGCACACAGCCUCUCUGUCACUUCACUCUGCUGGCUUCAGCUCCUUUAUCUUAAAAUAAACGUGGUCCUCCCCCGGUGCCACCUGUUGCCCAACUGAAAA
Mesocricetus auratus (golden hamster) is the source of this 3817-nucleotide long non-coding RNA. RefSeq lists it as uncharacterized. The record is from RefSeq and is a predicted model, not a curated record. The transcript has 2 exons. NCBI's taxonomy places the organism in Eukaryota, Metazoa, Chordata, Mammalia, Rodentia, Cricetidae.